AUCCAGACUCCUACGGGAGGCAGCAGUCGGUCCUCUUGCGCAAUUUCGGCCACUCUGACGCCGUGACGCCGCGUCUCGGAAGAAGGUUUUCGGAUUGUAACCUAUUGUCGUGAGGGACGAAAUUGACAGUACCUCAGGAGGAAGCUCCGGCUAACUAUGUGCCAGCAGCCGCGGUAAUACAUAGGGAGCAAGCGUUAUCCGGAUUUAUUGGGGGUAAAGGGUGCGGAGACGGGAAAUUAAGUUAGUUGUGAAAGCCCUCGGCUUAACGGAGGAACUGCAACUAAAACUGAUUUUCUUGAGGACGGGAGAGGAAAGGGGAAUUCCUAGGGGAGCGGUGAAAUGCGGAGAUAUUAGGAGGAACACCAGUGGCGAAGGCGACUUUCGGGACAGUAACUGACGGUGAGGCACGAAAGGGUGGGGAGCAAACAGGAGUAGAUACCCGUGUAC
Molecule: ribosomal RNA, 447 nt
Filed under: uncultured bacterium
Lineage: Bacteria
Description: bacterial SSU rRNA
Rfam family: Bacterial small subunit ribosomal RNA
Source: RNAcentral